AUGGGAGUUGUCAGCUUCCGCACAGCUCAAGACAGCAACGGAGUUCUCAACUCAUGGGCAAUGAACCUUGAGAAGCUCCUCGAUCUUGUUGAGAAGAGCUGCCACCAAAUACACAAGGAGACCAUGAUCCAUAAGGCGGUGUUGAAAGCUUAAGUUUUGGCGCGUUUUUUAGGUUCCCUUGGUAGCCAGCCAUGCGUCGAUCGAGAUAUUGUAACAGCAAUACUAUGAAUACUAUUUGUUGUUGGGGGCAUACUCACUGUCCUCCAAUUUGCUUAACUCGUGUAUCUUGCUGAAUAUUGUUUGAACUCUUUAGAUCUGCAAUCUGAUACCUGUCUUGAAAACUAGAUCCAGCUUAUCGAGUUUGGAGUAGAAAGAACGGCCAUUUACAGAGACGAUUUAAAUUGAAUCAAUGUUCUCACAAAUAAAAUGCUACUCGAUUCAUCUCAGUUUCCCUGCAUUUUUUUAGGAAACACGAUGUCAUAGCCUGGACCCACAAUACAUUUGGCAACAAGUGGGAACCUUAUUCGUGUUGCAAAUUUACAAAAUGUUCAAGCUCAAACUGGCCUACCUGAUUUUACAGAAGAGGUAAAACCGUGAGCAACAUGAUAUGCAAUAGCAGGUGCAACAGUUUGCUGUAAAUUGCUUGGACAUGCUGGGAGUUGAAUGGAACAAACAAUCCAGUAGCAUAACAUUGCAAUGGAAACUGUACGAUUAAAAUCACAAAUUGCAGAAAAUCUUAUUUCAAUGAAAGUGCACUGAGCAUCUUCAGUUCUUUAACAUGCCUGAAUUUUACAGCAAAUACUACAACAUUUUGAUUAAUUGUAUGUUGUGUGCUCCUGGUUCAAUGGUCUCUAAGAACACAUCGCUUUCUCUAAAGUUUCCUGCAGUUCUCCACUCUUAUAUGCCUCUGCAAAAAUAAACAGCGACGUUAGGAUUAAGCUCAGCUGAAACACUGAGAUAAAAGCCAUUAUUGAAUCGUUAUAAACAUAUCCCAUACACAGAAUUCAGUUGCUUGAUAUGUUGCAGUACUGGGGUGAAGGUGUACCCUAUCUACUUUCUAACCAAUGUUUCUACAAGUACUAUCAACUAUGUCAGGAGUUUUUUUGAAUGGAUGGGUUGUGAGGUUGCAAAAUCUUUUGAAGACAGUUAUCUGAAAUGGGCUGAAAUAACGAAAAUAUAUGAGUGCAAACAGGAAUUUGCACGGUGUAUGUGGAGUGUUUUCUACUUACAGAUUUUUGCGCUUUGUUAUAUUUUCCUCUGGCUCAAGUUCAGUACCGCAAAUUUAGACCACUCAACUUAACUUCAGUACAUAAGCAUCCCACAUACUUUUAACAAUGACUUCAUGUGUUCAACUAGACAAGUAGGUGUUCAGAAGGAGCAGCAUGUUCAUCAACCCUACAGUCUAAAACAGCAAACCAGAUAGUAUUCAAAGUCAUGCUCAUGCAGAUAGUUAGAUACAAUCAGCACAAUGGUUUUGGAGAGGGAAAAGUAUGAUGGGUGGUGCAGGAAUGGGAUUUGUGCUUAUGAACCAUGGAAUCAGUAUAAAAAAUUUGAGCUACUACUCUGAUUUUACUCAUACUGCUGCGAAGGAAUUACUAAUGGCUUGUCAUCAAUUUGAGUUAUGGAAUGGGAAAUUUGUGCAAGACAGACCAUGAUUAUCGCUAUCAUACAACACCAUUCUUAUAUUUCUUGGAUUACAAUGACCACCAUAAAUCUUAGUUUGCCUGAGGGUGGUCUUAUUUCUUGUUAUUGAAACAUGGAAGCAUAAAAUAUUUCCUUGAAUGCUACGAACCUGACUGGUUCGUGCCUGUGAUGCUAUGGCACUACCCGACCUCUUUCAACCACAAUAAGCAAUAGGUUUGGUUGGCCUCCUAUAGACAAAAUAAAUCAGGAUAUACAUACAGGACUGAAAUACAAAGGUUUGGUUCAUAUGACGCUUAUGCAAAUGGCAAACACACUGAUUUAUUUACUGGCGAAAAGAGUUUAGAAGAUACAUUUGCUUGUGGUGUGCAAAGACUUGGAGUAAGGAUUUGUACCAAUGACCUCGUCAAGACCUGCUACAAGUGUUUUCUAGCUGAAUCAAGUAAUCGUGUUUGGGGCAGAAUCUGCUCGUGUAAACCAAGCAGACACUACUACUACUACAAAUUAUGCCUUCAGCAUGAGCAAACUGAUGGAGCUUUCACUGAUCAUUUGUGAAAUCUAGCACCUCAGUGAUAAACCGCUCAUAUUCUAAUAUCAUCGAAUCUUUCCACAAAAACAACUAGAAUUUCGAAGCGAUGGCAAAUGUGAAGGAAGUGAACGCAUAUAUACCAACGGUGAUGUCGCAUCCGCCGAAGAAUUCGCCAUCGAUGUAGAGCUGCGGGAAGGUUGGCCAGCUGGAGUACUCCUUGAGCCCCUGCCGGAGCGCCUCGUUGGCGAGCACGUCGAGCGUCUCGAAGGGCACGUCCAGCGAGCGGAGGAUCUGCACGACGGUGUGGGAGAAUCCGCACUGCGGGAAGUCCUUGGUCCCCUUCAUGAAUAGCACCACCUUGUUCGACCCCACCACCUUGUCCAGCGUCGCCCGCAUGUCCGGGCUCAGCCCCGCGAGGCACCGCACCGACCGGCCGCGCGCUCGCACCGAGAGCUGCGCGGGCCGGUCGAGGGUGAGGCCCUGAACCGCCGGCGGAGCCCGCGGGAGCAAGGCGACCCUAGACGGCUGCCCCCGCGCGGGGAGGGGGAGCGGGACGUAGGCCCCGGCGAGAGGCCUCGAGGCCGUGGCGGAGGCGGCCAUCGCGGUGGCUGGCGUCUGGUGAGCGCGCGCCGGCGGCGACGGAUGGUACGGAGCCGUGGGUGCGGUGGUCUGGUGGACGACUCGGACGGAGCGGAAUUACUCGCGCGUGGCAGAUUAGUAAUUUCUUCUCCUUUUCUGUGGCCGUGAAGGCGUGAACAGCAAGAAGAAGAAUCGAUAGCCCACCGGCCCACGGACAGGGCCGCAAGUUGCGGACCGAAAAUCCAGCGGCCCAGCAACGUACGGUUGGUUAGAUCAAGAGCAGCGUGCCGCUCCCCCAUUCCCAGACGCCGCCUCCACCUUCUAAAGCCCUAAACCCAUCUCUCGCCCACCUCCUCUCCACUCCUCUGGUCCUCGCGCCGCCGCCGCCGCCGCCGCGACGCGACGCAAUGGCUUCCGCCGCGGUGCUCCGGAACGCCGGCUCCCGCCGCCUCUUCUCCUACCCCACCCUCCGCGCCGCCACAAUCUCGGCGCCCGCCGCGCUGCCCGAUGCGCCCGCGGCGGCGGCGCCGGCCCAGCCGCCGCCGAUGGCCGGGACCCUCUGGGCGAGGGCCAUGGCCACCUUCACGCGCACGUGAGUACUCCUCAGCUCAGAUCCGUUCGUGCCCGCUAGUUUCUCGGCUCAGAUUCACGUCAUUCGCGAUUCCUUUCUGUCGAUUCGUAGCAUUGGCUACCGUUUCCUCUUAGUUCCUGUGAUUCAUUUUCCAGUUCGGUUGAAUCUGUCACAGGAAGCCCCAUGUGAACGUCGGUACCAUUGGGCACGUCGAUCACGGCAAAACCACUCUCACUGCUGCUAUUACCAAGGUUGGAUGCGUUAGACACAGUGCUAGUUCAAUGCUUGAUUGGUUUCCAAACUUCUAGGAUGAUUCAACUGCGUUUGUUUCCUCGAUACAGGUUCUAGCUGAGGCGGGGAAAGCCAAAGCCAUCGCUUUUGACGAGAUUGACAAGGCUCCGGAGGAGAAGGCCAGAGGAAUCACAAUAUCAACGGUUGGGUCUUACCGCAUAUCUAAUUGUUUGGUCCAGAUGCAUUUCUUUUUUUUAAUUUAUCUUUAUUUGCAGCCCAAGUUGUAAUCCAUUAGUAUGUUUGUGUAGGCUCAUGUUGAGUAUGAGACGGCUAAAAGGCAUUAUGCUCAUGUGGAUUGCCCAGGACACGCUGAUUAUGUUAAGGUAAAUACCAGUUAUGUUUUAUCUCUCAAAUGGAACAGUUUGUGAUUCUGUGAAUGAAAGUUGUUUGCAUGUUAAAUUGAGAAUAUCCUAGGCUCCUAGCAAAUCAGGGACCUAGAGCUCUUUAUUAUUUACUCCCUCCGUUCCAAAUUGUAGGUCGUUUUAGCUUUUUUAGGUAUAAUGUAUGUCUAGGUGCAUAAUAAUAUCUAUGAACCUAGAAAAGUCAAAAUGACCGACAGUUUGGAACGGAGGGAGUAGUAAUUGUCCAACAUUCAUUGUCUUUUGUUUAUGACCCAAAGUAAUUUUCUGUGAAAAUGCCAGAAUAUGAUCACUGGAGCUGCUCAAAUGGAUGGUGGUAUUCUUGUCGUGUCAGCACCUGAUGGCCCGAUGCCACAAACAAAGGAGCAUAUUCUUCUUGCUAGACAGGUUUAGUUUCUCAUUUAAAUUGCUUUGCCAUGCUGUCUUUGCAGUUCUGAUCAUAUUAACUUGUGCUCUGCUUUUAGGUUGGUGUACCUUCACUUGUAUGCUUCUUAAACAAAGUUGAUGCUGUUGAUGAUCCAGAGUUACUUGAACUUGUAGAGAUGGAGCUUCGGGGUAUGCUAUCAUGCGUAUCUCUACAUUGUGUCCUUUUUUUCCAUCUUAUGGUUUUUUGUAUUCCAGUUCUGAGAUUGUCUUGUAUCCCAUCUUUUUCUGUAGAGCUCCUUACUUUCUACAAGUUUCCCGGUGAUGACAUUCCUAUCAUCCGUGGAUCAGCCUUGUCAGCCUUGCAAGGAACCAAUGAUGAGAUUGGAAAGAAUGCCAUCCUGAAAUUAAUGGAUGCAGUUGAUGAGUACAUCCCUGAUCCCGUGAGGCAGCUUGAUAAGCCUUUCUUGAUGCCGAUAGAAGAUGUUUUCUCUAUCCAGGUGAUUAGAUUUUUAUGAGUUAUGACUACUGCUGUAUGAACUAGAUAUGUAAUGCUUCUUCCACUAUUAUAUUAAUUGGCCACGUAUGAUCCCAAAUUAUCCUUAAACCUACUAGUGAAGUGUAUGGUAUUUAGGAUGGAAGCAAAAAAUUCAGUAAAUGCUGAUUGACAACACAAAUUCGAUAUUGCUAGACCCAUCAUGAAUAUGAACACUUUGCAAUGAAAAUUUCAUGACAACUACUUAUUGUUACUAUGGUGACCAAGUUGAUGUCCUAAACAACUUGUAUUAUUUUUUCAUAUGGACUGAGAUCAUUGCCUCAAUUGUUCAGUACUAGGGAUACACGGUACAUUCUGGUUUUGCAUCAUAUUUGUAAACUAUUUCAUCGGCAUAGCCAGAGUUUCAGUUGAUAUUGUUCCUUUUCAUUUUUAUAGUCAUAAAUCUCUUAUGGUGUAUAUCCAAUGUUAGGGUUAUUAAAUGGCCAGCUUUUUACCAAACUAUCUUAAAUGGGCAGCCUUUUACUAAACUAUCUUAGGCUGUUAUUUACAAUUAUAUGGCUUUACACUGCACAAGCUACUCGUGCUGUGGAGUUUCUGAUGUAUUUAUGAGUUGAAUAACCUUUGGCAUUAUUAGAUGGACUAUUGCAAUAUUGCUACAUUCAUCACCUAUGAUGCAAAUGGUGGUCAACAUCUUCAUAAAUUGAUGAGCAAUUAUUCUAAUAACUGACUUUUAUAUCAAUCUUGUUUGAUCUGUAGGGUCGUGGAACUGUUGUGACUGGGCGUGUUGAACAGGGAACAAUUAAAACUGGUGAAGAUGUUGAGAUCUUAGGUUUGACACAGGUGAGUUUGAAUAUGCCUUUUGAUUCCCUGAAAUCCAUUUGUGCUGAAUAUAAUGUCACACGGCCAAAAGAUUAAAUAUUUAUCCUACUGUAAGAAUUUUGAAGUCUGAAUACAGGUUCAUAAAGUUCAGUAUGUUAGUAGUUACUGGGACCAAGAUGUCUUGAGUUUUAGACCUGCCCAAGGCUUCCUUUUAGUCGACAUUUUGGUCCUGAUCGUGCUAAAUAUGGAGUGCCAACUGAGUAUGAAACAUUAGAACCCACUUUUUCGUUGACAGUUAAACUGUUUGGCUGACUUUAUAUUCUAGCCAAUAACUAAUCUCAACAACAUAAUGUUCUUCUGAUAUGUACCAAGAUGAUGCAACUUUAGGUGCAACACUUUGCAGAUUCUGAGCACACUAAUUUCCUAGUUUUCCUUCUGAAAUUUAGUACCCAGUAACCAGACACUUCGAUGUAUUCUGAUGAAAUACAUUCUUGGUCACAGAGUGGCCCAUUGAAGACUACUGUCACUGGUGUUGAGAUGUUCAAGAAGAUUCUGGAUCAUGGAGAGGUAAUGAUUCUGAAAGCAAGUCCUGCCAGGUUUUCAUUGGUUCAGAGUCUUAUACUUUCAUCUUCUUAUGUUCAGGCUGGUGACAAUGUUGGUCUUCUCCUUCGUGGUCUUAAGCGUGGUGAUGUCGAGCGUGGCCAGGUUAGAAUUUCUGACUUUAAAAUAAGCUAGAGAAGUAGCAUUGGGGAAUUCGUGUACAUGAUUGUCUGAUCAUCAAAUAUAUUUGCACGUCGUUUUAUAGUUUUAUAGGUAGCAUUUUGGUGUUGUUUCCGGAACUUGUGUUUCUCCAGUUUUAAAAUUGCUGAUUCCUCUUCUGUUGAUCUCGUCUACUUUUUCAGGUGGUGUGCAAGCCUGGUACUCUAAAGACAUGCACAAAGUUUGAGGCAGAAAUAUACGCCCUGACAAAGGACGAAGGUGGUCGGCACACAGCUUUCAUGUCAAAUUACAGUCCACAGUUCUACUUCAGGACUGCUGAUGUCACUGGUAAAAUUGAGUUGCUUGGUGAGACAAAGAUGGUUUUGCCCGGCGACAAUGUGACCGCAAAUUUCGAGUUGAUAUCACCUGUUCCUCUUGAACCAGGUAGGAAUCAUGUUCUUAAUGCUUUCAAGAUUAGUUCUUAUAGUACAAGUGUAGGUCGAGAUCAAGCCCGAUUAGUUGAUCAUGAGGCAUGAGGCAAAAGAGUGAGCAUGAUGUUUUUGUUUUGAUGCGAUGCAGGGCAAAGAUUUGCACUGAGGGAAGGAGGGAGAACUGUUGGUGCCGGAGUUGUCUCCAAAGUUAUUAGCUGAUCACUUUGUUUCCCGUAGCGAUUUAGCAAACGAAUGAAUGUUGAUAUAUGUCCGACCGGGUUAGAAAACGAGAGCAAAGGAACCGGUUUCCAUUUUUCUUGGAAUGCAUGAGCACAAAGGCAGGGCUGGCUGGCCUGGCCACCAUUCUGGACAGUCGCUUUUGUUUCCUUGUUGAGGUGGUGCUUGUAUAACACCGCAGUUAGUUUGGUUAACACGCAUGUUGCGCACAACUCAAGUGAUUGAAUAAGACAGUCCCAUCAUAAGCAUAUUUACCGGUCAUUUUGUGUGCCUAUUUGCUCUGUCCGUAUUUGUAAUGUUUGGUGUCGAUGUAUCAAUUAGUGGUUGUCUCGUAAUCUCAAGUUUCUCGUCAAAGUUUGAAACCAGCUUCGUGUCGUCAGAAAUCAAGUGCUGCUGUGGAGCAGGAAUACGUACGUAGCCUCUACAUUCUCGUGUCGCAGCCUCUGAUUUUGCCAACCAUUUCAUUGGGCCAUGGCAGGCCAGGUCCACAAGAAGAAAGAGAGCCUGCAUCGGCCGGCCCUUUUGUUUUGGGCUCGGCAUUCACAGGUGCUCUCGGCUUUGGAAUAGCGAGCGCUCUUGGCUUGUGUUGAGUUCACACCAAACCAGACCAGCCGCCGAUCAAAAUUCGAUUCCACCUCCGACUCCGACUCCAUUGAUCGCUCGGUCUCCUACAGGAAGAGGAGGAGGAGGAGUAUAGUACCAACAAGACGAUUCCAUAUCCUCCCCUACCGUGGCAUCGCUCAAUCAAUCCCACCCAAAAACCCUAGCAAACCAGGAGCUAGCGGCGGCGGAGGACAAGCAGAUCGACCAGCAAUGCCGCCACCGCAGCUCCCCUCCGAUCGCGCCAGGCCCAGGCCCAGGCCCGGCGAGAGCUCCGUCCCCGCCGUCAAGAGGGCGCCGCCUGCUUCUCUCUCCUCCUGCUCCGCCGCCGCCUCGGCCAAGAAGAUCGCGCGCCCGGCAUCCGCACCCGACCUCACGGCGCUCUCCGCCGCCAGGCCUUCCGCCAAGCUCGCCGCGUCGCCGCCAGACAGGAAGCCGGUCCGCCCGACGCCGCCGCAGCAGCAGCAGCAUCGCGGCCAGAUGGGCGCCGCCAGGCCGCGCCCGCCCUCGACGCCGGCCAAGAACGGCGCUCCGCAGCCGCGCGGCCCGUUCACGCCCUCCCUAAGCCGACCGGCGCCGUCCGUCCCGCGCCGGCAGGCCCCGCAGACGUCGUCCGUCCCCGGGAGGCCGGCGUCGUUCAUGGCGCCGCGCGGCGCCCAGACCGUCCGCCCCACGCGCCGCCUGGCGCCCGGGACCGCCGUCUACGUGCGCACCGCGUUCAGGCCGCGGAACAUCAACUGCCGCAUCCUGCUCUGGCUCCCGGCGCGGGUCGUCUCCGCCUCCGACGCCUACCACCUCUCCGUCAAGUACGCCGCCGGCCUCAACGACAUGUUCGCCGGCAAGAUCGUCAGCAAGCCCGUCGACCACGUGCGCGUGGCGCCACACCGCACCGCCGCCGCCAAGGCCGAGCCAAGGAAGACGGCAUUGUCACGACAAUGAGCCGUUUCAACCUUCCCCCCUUCAUCUAUCCAUGGGAGCGGCGCAGAGCUGCAUGACGACGACGAUCAAUCAGCCUAGCUCCCUGUACAUAUGUUCGUUGAUCUCGUGCUGAUUAGCCUCUGAAAUCAGGUUAAUUUUGCUUGAUUGGUAGAAAUUCUACUGCUUCUGGAGAGAAACAGAUUGAUUUGUAACGAAAUAGGCCCUAAAAUUUCUCUCGAGUGGCGCGCGGCUACGUGCUAUGGAAGACGGUCGCGCCCGAGAUCAUCGACCUCCAACUGUUUUGUCAACCCCUGAGCCAGCCGCUCGAAUAAUAUCGGACAUGGCAUGUCCGUUCAAUCACCGAUACUUAUUAAGGCGACAAUCAGUUUGGUAGGGCUCCAACUCCUUCUAAAAGGAACCGGAGCUAGAGGCCGACUUCUCUAGGUGUGGAGUAGUUUUUUACCAAACUGUUUUGUAGGACAUCAACUAGAGCCGCAAGAGAAGCCAAAAUUGAAGCCCUGCCAAAUUAGCCCUAAGCUCUACCUCAACGGUUUCUAUCGUUAGUGGCCAACUAGGAUUCAAUAACAACAAGGGAGUAUAUUCCAUUAUGUUGCAUCUACCGCAGAUUGAGUUCACCGAACAAUAUUAGUGCAAAUGAAGACUGAAACAUGAUUUCAAUAUUAUCAAACACCUCUGUGGAUAAAAUACAAUCGAGGGGUAAUUUCAAGCCCAGCAACUUCACAUGAAUCGUCAAGCAGGUAGGUUUUCCGGACUUGUAUACACACACAAGGGCGGAUGAUGGGCCCAGGCCAUUUGUAAAAAAAAAGGAGAUACAGCUAUUCGGCCCAGUCCAACUAGAAGUGGCUGGGGAUCUGAAAAAGGAACUAGUCAGAGGCCCAGCCCAACCCACGUAAUUUUUCCGGCCGGCUCCUGCAUCGCGCAAGUCGAGUCGCAGCCAGCCGUCCCCGUUACGCAGCGGCCGGACCGGAGGGGAGGAGGCAGAAGAGAACCCCGUGUUCCCCACCUCGUCAAGCUCCCAAUCCAUCCCUCUCUCCUCCGACGAUUCGUGCUCGUCCAAUUCUGGUGGGUGGUGGUAGACGGCCGACGACGAGGUGGGCCCUCCUCCUCUUCCUGCUCCUGCUCCGAUUUCCUCUCUCGGAUUGAGGCAUGGUGGUGGCUGGAUUAGGGUUUCCGGUUCGGGGUCGUCGGGGGAGGGCUCCAUGGCCGGCGGGCUUAGACUGUCUAGCGGCGGUGCGGAUCGAGGGUGGAGAGGCGAGGCGGCGUGGGCGCCGCGGGCGGCGGACGGGGUAGGGCCGACGGCGGCGGGCGAGCGGCUUCCUCAGUUAGCGAAUUAGCAGUUCAUUCCCUUGACUAGUAUACACGAUUAUGGUUGAUUUGUUCCAUAGGACUUAGGUCAAACAGAAUAUCAAUUUAUAUCCUUUCAUUCACUGACCUACAUUUUUUCAUUUAGCUUGUAUAUAAAGGAGAAUGACGAACUGCAUGGUUUGUUCCGAGGGCUGGUUGAAUUGAUUCCUGGCUAUCAUCUUCUACAAUAUAUUGGUGCUACACACUUUACUUGACUGAAACUACUUAGUGAUUCUAGGCCUAUUUAUAAUUUUGAAGAGGGUUGUGAAAACUGUUGUUUUUGUUUAUCAGUGCCAUUUCAUGAAAAAAAAAAUGUUUGGUUUUGAAACUUCCACUGUUUCAAACAAAAGUUAUCUAACGAAAGCAUGCAUUUAAGGUCCUACGGUCAAUUAGACGUGAUGUGGCAUAUGUGGCAUCGAAUAGAGGUGCAUUUGGAAGCAAUUUGAAUAAAAUGAAGGAUUCCUUUAACUUUCAGAUUUUUUUUUUGCUUUAAUUGUGAAUAGUGGAGUGUGAAAAGUGACACAAGUGCCUAUGAUUCUUUGUGAUUCUUCCAGUAUAGCUUAAAUUCAUUAAUGCAAAACCUUUCAUGUAACAGUUAGUGCUACAUUCUGCGUGUUUACCAGUGAUUAGUGAUAUUUUUGGUUUCAAGACUGACUUAUCGACUUCAUAGUCUAGUAUAUAUAUACUAUUGUGCUGCGGUUCAACUGAUAGAUGCUCCUGAGUGCAGGAUGAAUUCUAAGCGUAGGAGAAGUCAUAGUCCAGUUGAAUACAAGGAAGGUCGUGAUAAAGAUUAUGAGACUUCUGGAAGGAAGGAUAACUCAAGAGAUCUAGAAGAGUCAAAUGAUACUAGAUUAGGCAGAGGUCAUGAAUCGGGUAGGCACACUGAUAGGCACUCCUAUGGUACAUCACGUGAAUCUAAGAGGCAUGAUGACCAUAGGAGGUACCAUGAUAAGUACAGUGAUGAUUAUGGUAGGAGCCAUCCAAGAUCCUCUCGGUCAGAUCGCGAAUCAAGGGCUGAUACUUAUUAUGAUCGCUCAAAGCGUGAUAACACAUCUGGUAGAUCACGUGGUGACCAGCGAGAUGUUGACAGUAGGUAUGGAGAGAAAUCUGUCAACCGAGAUCAGAGGAGUAUAAAUGAAAGAAAGCAAGACUCCCCUCAUGCCUAUCAAAGGAAUGAUGUUGGAGAAUACAACAAAUAUACAGAUGCAAGAAAGCAAGAGUCCAGAGGUUCUGGAGACGACAGAGAUCAUCGUAGGGUUGUUGAUAAGAACAAAGAAACCAUCAAGGAGGAGGAAGUCCUAAAGAAGAGAAAUGGAAAGGAAAUUGAGAAAGAAACUUUGGUGGAAACUAGGGAGAAGAGAAGAAGUCUAUUCAGUUCUGCUGGGCCAAAUGUUGAUAUCGCAGGGGGUUAGUUGAUUUUUUAUUCCUGUACUUUCUUGUUGGUGCAUAAUUUUCUAUAUCCAGUCUCAGAGUAAAGUUAUGAAUUUGACAGAUGUCAAACCAUCCUCAGUCACAAAUGAAGCCUUGGAUAACUCUGCUGCCACCUUAGAUGAUGGUGUGAAUGCAGCUAAAGUUGCAGCUAUGAAAGCUGCCGAAUUAGGUAACCAUGAUCAUCAUGUUUCAACAAUUUGUACAUUCCUACUUACCUCCAAGACUUUUAUUCCCCUUAGCUGAUGGAUUUUUCUUUUGUGCUUGUCUUUACAUUGGCGCGUUCAGCUAUCAACAAUGCUGCUUGGUAUAAACAAAAGGGAAAAUUGUAUUUGUUGAUUUUGUUGGGCUGAACAUUGCACUGAGUGCUGACAAUUGAUAACACAAGAUACUAAUUUUCCAUACUUCCAUGAUGGCAUCCAGUGACAUGGCCAUGAUAGUGAUCUCUUCCCUGACGAUUUGAGUAGUAGCUUACAUCAUUGACCAUCCCUUUGUGUUUUAUGGCAGUGAAUAGGAACAUUGCAGCAUUUGGUGCUGGAACUGGGCGCCUAUCCACUGAUCAGAAGAAAAAACUUCUUUGGGGCAACAAAAAGAGCAGUCCCUCAGAGGAGGUAACCUUCCAGCGAAUGAUGAUAUUAUUUGUUUUAAGUUUUGAUUUCAUUCAGUUUGUUAUAGAAAAGUAAUCGCUUGUUGAUUCAUCAUUUGUUUUUGUCCCUGAUGCUACAGACUAGUAAUCGCUGGGACUUAAAUUUGUUUUCUGAUCGUGAGCGCCAAGAGAAAUUCAACAAACUCAUGGUAAUUCCUGCUUCAAGCUCUAUUUUGAAUAUUUCUGUCCUUCCAAAUUUAUUAUCCUCCAUAUCAGUAAAACAUAUACCUCAUUACUCUGCGUUGCACUAACACCGUUUUAGAGUCUGAGGAUGCCUUGGUGGCUAUGGCCUAUCACAGGGUGUGAAGAGCAGUGCCCCAGUUCAGGAGAGCAAGGUCGAGAACAAGGACGGGAGCUCAGCCGAAGCCAAGAAGCUGGAGGAGCUCGAUACCAACCUGGAGAAGCAUUACAUAGCUGGACUCCGCCGGAGAGAUGGCAGGACCGUUGGUCUUGGCCUCUAGGGAACUCUGCUUGCAAAUGCUACGGUAUCGGAAAAUUCAGGAGCCUGCUAUGUACAAUCUUCAGUGGCUUGUUUAUUCUUGCAUGCAGACGGUUAACUAAGAGUUUUAUUUACCUGUGUUACUGUGAUAACUUAUUAUUCUGGAGGACUGGUUCACUGGUAUGUUUGCUUAUUAUUGAUCACAAGCUCCCGCAGCUAUUUUUUACUGCAAAUACUGUUUUGUGUGGCCCACAGCAUGACGAGUCUAGCUUUCAUCGUGGACUCUAUUUUGUAAGCUUUGCAUGUCAGCUUCACAAGUCUUACAAGUUACAACCAAUGCUUCUGUUUUGCUCCGUGCCGUGCCGUGCCGAAACCACCACCGAGUCAUGUAAUCUUUGAAUAGCAGAGAUUUAUUUAUAUGGCACUUUGUUUUGCUCAUGAGUGCAGCAUUUGCGGCUUUUCUGCUUUCAUCUCCACCAAUCUUGGUUGAAUCUUCCUGUUUGUUCGUUUAUUGGAUCAUCAGUUGGUUAUCGAUGCAACAGUUUGUCUUAUAUCCCGACAAAGCGGCAUGAUGCUCAAUGCACCACCAUUGUGCUUGAGUUUUGACUAUUUUUUUCACUUAUCGUGUAACUAGCAAACAAAGUCACUUGUACAGUUGCGAAUGAUUGUUUUGAACAUCAGUUUAUCACUACAUGUACACUAUUUGCUGAUGCCUGUGGCGGCACAGCUAAAGCUUUAGGAUGACAUCCACUGCCCAGUAAUCUCAGCUGCUUUAACAAAUCGAAAUGGUAUCUUGCAACAGCGAGAAACAAGAGCUUGAAGAGAUAAAUCUGAAAACCACUAAGCAGAGUUGCAGAAUCACUGCAAAGGGUUACCUCAGAUAGACAACAGAAACAUUAUAAAGUGACCACGCAAAAUCUGGUGCAGUGGUGCUCAUGUAUAUAGUCAACCAACCACAAACGUAAUCAUCAAAAACCAGCAAAAUGGAUUCCAUGGCAUCUCAACAUGCAUAACUUUAGGUAAAGCUUGGAGAAACUAAAAGUUUCCGACUGCAAAUACAAAGAGUGGCUGGCCUAAGUGGGGGUUGCAAAAGAGUGCCAUCACAAGGAAACCAUGACCUCACAUUUCACUAUUUGGAGUCCUAUGAUCAGGCUUUUGCCUCCUGAGCUACUUCCUCAAAAGUCUCUCCUGGAACAAGCUCUGGAACAUCAUCAUCGUUAUUUUCCUUGGCCUGUGCCGUGGCACCAGCAGCAACCGCUUGCUUCUCAAUCUCUUCAGCAAUCCUCCUCAGGUGCUCCAUGUUGUCAGGACCUGGAAGAACAAAUCAAAUCAGGCAUUAGCUUCUCUUUCAUAGCCUUUCUAACCUGGCUGAGCUACUGUUUUAUUUCCUUCUUGUGACUUCUAUGUUCCAAACUAAACAGCUGGGGGACAACAUGUAUACUCAACAAGUGCUAGCCCGAAAGCUAACAGACAACAAAAGGAACAUCCAUAAGAGUAAACAUUCUUUCCCGUGGCCAGUAGUGCUAACUGUAGGGAAAGGACAACACACGACAAAACAUGAAAUAAAGCAGCAUAGAAACAGAUAACGCUGACAAGAUUAGAAAAAGGUCAAAUACAAGUUAUCCAUGUUACAAGGAAAGCAAUUUAUUGGAUAUAGACAUUCAGGUGUGGAGUGUAACAUACCCAAUUGGUUAAUGAUCCCAGGCAGAACAUCUUGUAGCUCUGUCAGAUUACACAAUAAACAACAAUUUUAGCAAGUCAACAUCACCGAGCCUUUUCUAUAUAGCAGAUGAAACACAAGUCAAAUGCUUAAAACCAUCUUUAAACCAUGUAAGCAUCUUCAAAACCACACCUAACAGGAGCAGAACGCACCGAGAUAGUGACUGGAUGAAUAAAAAUAUGCUCUUAAAAUAAACUAAAGAUAGUGCUAAAAUUACAGAGAUCCUCGCAGGUGCUUGAUGCAAUGAGAUUAUGCCUAUCACUUCUGAUGGUGUGGUAAAAAUAAAAACGCUGGCUCAAUUGUAUUCAGGCUAAUCAAGUGUGGAUGUGUGCAGGUGUAAAAACUAAAAUGGAUUUUGGAUUCUCAACUUAGCUAGGCAUCUAAUGUGACUGUUUCUCUUGCACAAUCCAUCACAAGGGAAGAACAUCCACUUAUCUAAAAAGAUAUCAUUGCUCUGGGUGUGAUUAAAUGACUGUUCAAUAAAAUUUAACAGAGGGUGAGCAUUACUUUUCGUCUGUGGAGAUCCACUGACCACCCAUGUGUUUGCGGCGAUGGAAGCUUGCACUGCAUUAUUAGGGGAUAAGGAAACAUCAGACAAACGAGUCAGUAACACCAUGCAUUCCCCAUUUCAACAUGUAACAGAACAGCAGCAGCAACAUAGAAGGGACAGCAGACCUUUGGGAUUCAAGAACUGGAUGACGAGAUCGUCCUUGAAGAUGUUGACCUCCUCGAUUGCAGGGAUGGUGUUGACCCCUACUCUCUUGAGCGUGCUCUGGAGCCUCUUGUCGUCCGUGGUGGCCGUCUUGUGGACAGCCUUCUUCUUCCUGAAGAAAAGCUCAAGUUUUUCAGCCAUCGGCAUCGCCGCUGAUGAACAACGCACAAGUCAAGUCGUGCGAGUCAGUCAAGAGCAGCUAGCUACCUGCGCACGGUGCCCUUGCCGCCGGUGCGGACGGCGCCGGCCAUCUUCAUGAGCCUCUCCUUGUUCAUCUGCGCGACCAACAACCGAUCAGCCCAACGCCGCAGCAAGCACGGAUCUAUCGCGGGAGCGAAUCGGUUCCACUAAGCCCAGCAAUCGGGGUGGACUGGACUGAUCUCUAAAUUCUAAACCGCUCGCAAGAGAAAACCACGGCGAUUUGCCGAUUGGGUACGAUGACGUCGGAGCGAAGAGUGGGAGAAGAAGCACUGACCUUGGCGGCGGAGGGCGGUGAGGACGCGUGAGCAGGGAGGGGCGGGGGAGGGGAUUGGAAGAGGCGGCGGCGCAGGAUGGGCGCAGGUUUUGGGGGAGGAUUAUAGGGUUUCCAGUUUUACACGUAGGACCCUGGGUUUUCCGUGUUUUAUGUACGUGUGCGCAGGCAGGUUCCGCUGGGCCGGCCCACUCAGAAACCUCGGGGCUCAUUUCGUUCGAUGCGCGCAAAAGCAGGUUCCGUAGUGAUGGGCUAGUAGUGGGCUGGACGAAGAGCUCAAAGAAAGCUCGAUGGUGUCUCUGCACUUAGCAAUAAUCACACACACAUUCUCUUGCUACUUUACACGAUCAGACUAAGCACAUCCUCAACACCAUAUCAUAUCGACAUGGAAGUGGCAUCAAUCACACACAAGCACUACAGUACAUGUAGCUGUUGACGACAAUGGAGCACAAGCAACUCUGAACCAACCAACCUUGCUUUAUUUAUGCAUGUAUAUGUAUGUAUGUUAAUCGAUCAUGAGGUAGCUAGGAUGGAAGCAAUGCAAGUAGCAGAUGAUAUCCAUCAGGCGGCGUUGACUGCGAUCUUCAUGCCGGACUGGCAGUGCCCGGGGAUGCUGCAGAUGAAGUAGUUGCUGCCGCGGGCGAGGGUGACGCGGUCGUUGCCGGACGUGUACGUCCUGGCGCCCCGGGGAGCGGCGCAGCCCUUGUACCCCGCCGCGUUCACCGACGCCACGUUGUGCGCCGACGAGUCGUACUUGAACACUGCAUACGCAUCGUGCAUCAGAAUCGAUUGUAUUUGUUGCUCGAACGAACAGGUAUUAGGUAGGGUACCUAGGACGUCCCCGGCCUUGAAGCGCUUGCCGUUGGUCCAGGUGUUGGAGUUGAAGGUCCAUCCGCCGCGGUCGCCGACGGUGAACACGGCCGACUCGGCCACCUGGGCCUGAAGGAGCACGCAGAGGAGCAGCGCCGCCGCCGCAAGGGCCACCACAGAGCCGCCACUGCCUCUUCCCUGCGCCAUUGCUGCUCGAUCUCCCUCGCACUGAACCACUAGCAGCUGCUUGUUACCUACUCACCUCGAUCACCUGAAUAGUAGCUGCUCUCAGACACAGAUCACACACAGAACAAUUGCUGAUAUAUAGAGCAAUGCAGGAGCAAAGAAAGUGGAGUGGUUGUUGGCAGUGGCCGCCGGGGGGUCCUCUCGUUUUAUAGAGCAAUGCAGGAGCAAAGAAGUGGAGCGCGUGAAGGUAAGUAGGUCCCGCGGGGGAUAUGCAGAAACCAACGACCCACAACAGGGCCGGCCGGCAGUGAGUGGAUGGAGAUGAAAUGAAAUGAAAGACGAGCGGAUCAUUCAGGACACGUUUAAUUUCUUUGGAGGAUGCCCGAUCGACGAGACGACGUCAAGCAAGCAGCUAGUGUGGUGUGGGAAACGUACGUAAAAGCCAACAGCAAGCAUGUAAUUGAUGUAGUAUACAAAUCAAAGGAAUAUAUUGAACAUCAACAGCUUGUUUGGCACACUGUUUACUACUGGCUCUGAUUGCUACCGUACAUCUAUCGGCGUGCGAAUUGAAGCUAGCUGCUUAUACUGUUCACAUCCAGGAGCUAGUACAAAGCAACACGUACGUCGCCUUGACGUCAAAGCUAGCUAGUGCACACUUGUUUCGCUCCAAGCUAGCUAGUGCAUUUCCUAUUUUAGUCAGUUGCUGGGUCGCUGCUCCCAACAGCAAGUCAGCAUUCACCAACACCACCCAUGAGCAUGAAUGAAGUCUUCUCUUCAACUGCAUGCGGCGCACAAAGUCAAUGUGCUUUUCAAUAUUUUUUUAAUUACCUCUCAAUGAAAAAAAAUGCCAAGGCACCGUCGUGAUUUUUAUUUUAAAAUUAAGGAUAAAGAAUCCGGCCCCAGCUAUCAAAGUUCGAAAGCCUACAGCCAAUGUGCUUUGCAAUAUAAUGUUUCCACGAGGUUGGAAAAACUCUUACAGCCUCAUUGGAUUUCGUCGCGCAUUCGGUCGUGCUGCGUCCGGCCUCCGUCCACUCGUCAUCAUCGCUUGUGCUUUUCAAUAUAAUGUUUCCACCGGGUUGGAAAAACUUUUACAGCCUUAUUGGAUUUCGUCGCGCAUUCGGCCUCCGUCCACUCGUCUAGGAACGUAACGUACAUGGCGUAGUUUGGAGCUAUUACAUGCUCCCUCCCAUCCGUCCUCAAUUACUAUUAAAGUGUUCGUUGUGACUUUCUAGAUACAUAAUAAAAUUUACUAUGAUCUAUAUAUGUCUAGACAUGUAGCAAAAAGCUAUGUACCUGGAAAAAACUAAAACAAAUAAUAAUUUGAGACGGAUGAAGUACCAUGCCUACUAACCACCAUGGUUGCCAUUCAUCGAUGUUUAUGCAUGGCCUAGUUUGGAGCUAUUACGUUGGACCCAAUAGCAUGGAUUUAACAGCAUUUCUACCAGCACCCCCAGAAUCCCAAAUACAUGUACGAGAUGCAUUCUGGGUGCCCCCCUUUUGCACCACACCACUAACAAUAGUGCUCCCUGAUGCGUGCUACAGCACAAGCUUAGCUUACUACAGUAGUGCUCGGCGUGCGCAUUUGCAUGCUUUUCCCUCCUAGCUAUAAUAAUUUAUGUCCCUCUUUGUAAAGAAGAAAGAAAUAUAAUUUUUUAUUUACACUAGUGGAGAGCCCCCAACAACCUUCUUUUCUGACUUUUGAGCCCAAUUGUGGCCAGACGGCCCAACCUUCCUUGGUUGUUGGAGAGGUAGGUCCACUUCAGUUUCUUGGUAUUGGCCUUGGUGUUGGAAAAACUUUUACAGCCUUGGACUUGAGAUUUCACCGCACGUUACUCAUACAAGAGGCUCCUCACCGCAACAUAUAACCUCUUCCAUUCUUUGUAUUACAGUCAUAGUCCAUUACACUGGUAUUACAUGUGUUAAACAAGCUGCAACAGCAUCGUACACCACAAGUCUCUAUGUGACAGCUUCGGGAGCUGAGUUGCAGUAAGGAGUGUGCAAGCAAAUGAAUCUAGUUGACAUCAAGCACACGGAGGCGAAGCCGAUACCUAUCAGCAACCCCGCGAUGCUCUUCCGCAUGUCCAACCGCAAAGACCGCCUGAAAACGCGGCCAAAGCUGGGGAUCAGAGCCCCGCAUGCUAUCACCAUCCAGUAGUCGAGUCCAUCGUAGUCGAUCCUCGCAAGGAUCGCGCUGAUGGCGGCGCUAGGCCCUGCAAACCCGGUCAGAGCAGCGGCUGCCAGGGCUCCGCGCCAGCUAUCUGUGGCGCCAUACACACAGCUGGCCACAGCAGCACCUCGUGGCAGGCCAUGGAGGGAGGCUGGAAGAACCAUGUAACGGCCAAGGCCGUAAGCCUUGCGAGCCGCGACACCAAGUACAAGUCCUUCGGCAUAUGCAUGAAGGAAUACAGCACCGCAGGCAAGGAGCGAUUGCAGUGUGAGGACACUAAGAGAGAAGCCGGAGGAUGAUGUAAUGACGUUAACGGAGGAUCUUUUGCGAUUAACCACCCUAAGGAUGCUUGAUGUGGCAGCAUGGUAGACAAGGGAACCACCAAUGAUGAGAAAGAGGGUGGUAAAGAGACCCAUUUUUGAGGACAUUAGAAGCUGUACAGGUCUCCAUGCCGCAAGACGGAAAGCAAUGCCAGAUGCCACACCAGUAAGCAGCGGGUGUGGCAUGCUGAAGGCAAGAGAGAAUGUGACAAGUAUAAUUCCUCCGAUAAGUGGACCUAGUCCAAAUACAAGCGAUACCAAGAAACCCGAUGCAUCCUCUGAGCUGCAAGUUAAAUCAAUAACACUAGCUGAGACCUGAGAGUUAACUUUUACACACCUACAUCACGAAAAUGUUAAUAGCAAACUUACUUGUUGCCAUCAGUAAAUCCCAGAAGCACAGCACUUAAUGUUUCCAUGAAAGCAACAGCAAGUGUUCCAGCAGAAGCAACUUGUGAUGGAGUCGCUUCCUGCACAUAACAGAGAAAAUGAAAAAACUGCUUUCUCAGGGCAUAAAAAUAAAACAGCAGCUUCAGUCCUUCAAGGUUUUUCUUAACAGUCAGGUGAAUAGGAUUCUCACCUUAAAAGCAUCAGGAAGAACCUCUGCUAUAACAAUCCAUAUCAUGCAUCCUGCAGCAAAACCAGUACAAAAGGGGAGCACCUUCUGGAAUGCGUCGGCACAAAGGAAAGCAGGAACAGCAACAACUGGCUGGAUUUACAAAUGAAAACAAAGCAGCAUCAGAGCAAAAUCAAAGAAUGUUUAUCACAAGAAGUGUAACUUGAAACUGAAGCGGUUGCAUAUAAACUAUAAAGUGAUGAAUAAUAUUGUGUUCACAACAUAAUACUGAGAGAAAGCUGAACUUGGCCAUGUUUAAGCAAGUAAAAGAAGGAGACAGUUGUGGUUCUCACUGGCCUCAGAAUGUCAAUGAUAACUAGCUCCUGCUAGCCACAAAUAAUUAUAUAGGUCAAAAACUCAAAAUAAGAAAAGAGACAGUAAUAUCUGAUGAUUGCUAAUACUAUAUAAUACAAAGAUUACUAACACUAUAAUACAUAGCUCUGUUACAAGUUUCUUAGUAUUAACACUUAUCUCACAGAAUACUACUGUUAGUUAUCAGUUCAUCAGCUUGAAAAACUCUUUCGAGCGGCACAUAUGGUCAGCACACGACAGUUUCUACAAAACCAAAGGAACUAUAGGAUUACUGUAAAGGAUGUGAUUUCGAUGAAACACCCAGGGUUGGAGCAUAAAACAUAUCAUGUGUGGCCUUUAAGUACUAAUACUAUUCAAUCAGCAUCCGAAGUUCCAAACAAAGGUGCAUGUACAAUUCGCAAGGGAUACAAUUUUGGUCCAGUUGUUCCACCAAACCCUGCCCCUGAGGUCCAGAACAAGGUACAUUUUUCUUGGGAGCUCAAGACCUUGCUUGUACUGAUUCACUAUCACCCACCAGUUACCUUUGUUGCCAAUACCAAAUCAUGUUAGUGCUUAUUCAUGUGAUUCACUCUAUGAUUCAGUUUGGUCACUUAAUUAGAAUAACUAGAGAAGUCCAUAAACACAGACAGAGACAAAUAUGAGGGAAAAAGAGAGCAAAAUAGUUAGUUCAGUCAGGGCACAAAACAAAGAUUCAUUCUGUUGCUUAUAGUUACAAGAUAACUAAAAAGUUGGUAUAUUUUUCAUUACUCACUCAAGAAUAAAGACAACAAAUUUAUAGGAACGGUAAAGAUUUCAACUGAAAAAAUGAUACCUGUGGUAAAGAUGUUAUUAUACUCCAUAUCAUUGCCUUUUGGGGGGAGACACCCCUAGAUGACAGUACCAUGCUUACAGCCAAGCCUUCUGGUAUGUUGUGCACUGCUAUAGCUAUAGUAACUAGAAGACCCUGAGAAAAUCCUUUUGAGCCAGCAAAGGAAACACCGACACCAGAGCCUUCCCCAAAAGAAUGGAGAGUCAUUAUUCCCACAACAAGGAUAACUUUACUUGCAUCGGCACCUUUUAUAUCCAGCAUGCUUACUUCUCCAUAUUGCUCAAGAAACUGUGCGCAAGGAAACAGUAUAAAGGAAAUAUUAUUAAAGAUGAAUAUACCAAGAACAAUGGAAGGGGGUUAUCUUGAUUGUUCCAAAAACACAAUUAUCAAUUGAACUCAAUAUGAUGAUGUAUACACUCAACAAGUAAGUGCAAAGUGGAAUGCAGACUGAUCUAGUGCAGUCAUCCAUUGAUGUUCAAGUUUUAGGUGGCCUACGCAAUAUUCUUAUCAGCAUACAAAUGAGGGUAAGCAUGUGAUGGGUUCACAUGAGCCCAUUCGAUUUGUUCAGUUCUUCCAUUGAAUUGCACUUUAUUCAAUUGUUUGGACCAACAACUAUUGACUCUGGCAAUUUUUUGGGUCCAAGAUUACUCUAAGUACAUGUAUAACUGCUUAAGCACCAUUAUGUUGACAUUUGAAGCCUUUCAGACAUGAAAUGAAGCUUUUGUUUAGCUACAGGUAACAGAUUUUGAGCUAUAGCCUUUUUGGGUAAAAUCUAAGCUACCUAGCAUGUAUCAAUCCUGAAUUAUGUUCUUGCUUUGGGAAGUGCAUCAUAGGUACCAUAUAAAUGAACCUAAUAUUGCAUAGAUUUCUACAGUAAUAACAAAUUGUUCAUUCAAAUCGAAAGCAAUUGAAAUGUGGCAUUGAUCUGAAAGGUGAAGAGCAGGAAUCGUAAAGUACCUUCUUGCAAAGCCAAAUAAAUAUUCCUCCGCUCAAAAUUCCGAAAACAACCCAGCUCCCACUGCCAUAGACCUGCCCUUCCUGCACGAGGUCAAAGCUUGCAGCCAGCAUCACCCCGGCCGCUAGCCCAUUGCAAAUGCCCGCCCACUGAGCUUCCAGCUCCAUGAAGAAGAAGGGCACUGCUCCCAACCCAGUCGCCACAGCCAUGACGAGCGUAGACCAUGCAACCGUCGACACUGACACCCUCCCCACCUUAGCACCAUCCUGCCUCCCUGUGCCCUCCAGCUCCCUAUGGGGCGCCUCCUGCACUAAACGCACAUUGCCGGCCUCGGUCUCGGCGACGGCCGACACGUCCCGGACUACUAGGACGAAGAACAGGCACAAUAGGAUUGCUCCAGCUCUUCUGUCCAUGGUUAUUCAGCGCACCUGGUUAUUUCCACACCCCCUGACUUUGCUUGUCAGGGUAGCGUGGGCAGGAGGCCUGCUGCUCAAAGAAGCAAGGGGCUGUUACAACAUCCUCAUUGUCUUGUUCAGCAGCACAACAUAAUGAUCACAGCUUUCGCGUGGAACUGGGAAGAUGCUCCAACCCUGCCGCACAAAGAAGGCACAUUUAGCACGGUUCACGAAUCGAGCAGCGCAAGCAUGGGGAUUCAGUUGAGAUCCCAGCAGUCUGGUCAAUAAAAAGCUUGGCAUUACUGCUCCAACAAGAAGCAGCAAACGACAGGAAUCGCAACAGACUGAAGGAAGAGACUGGGGGUCAAAAGGUAGAAAGAUUUGGAUCUGACUGCUGCUCAUAGCAAAAGAAAACGAACUCCCAGGACAAUCCAUCCAAGCAAAGCCAGAGCGCCCUUACCAGCAACAGGAGGAGGGAGGGAUCGACCCCCUCCCGCGCCAGCAGAAGCGAUGCCGAGGGCGCCAGGCGCGGAUGGAAGAAUUGGAGGCUCGGAGGCGCGGCCAGGCGACGAGAAUACUGCCGGCGAGGCGGAUUCAGGGCGGCGGCGCACGCGGAUUUGGGGGGUAAUGGAAACCGGCGACCCCGGGGGGAGGCGGUCACCGGUGAGGCGGUGACGGAGGAUCAGAUGCGCCGCGCACGUGGUGAGGUGGUGUUGCGCGGCCUCCGGUUCCCGCGGGACGGGUGGGCCCUUUCGCCGGAAAUCUAUCCUCUAUGGCGUGGCGUGUCGGAUGCGCCGUGGCCGCAACAAACCAAACCGUACGCUGCUGCGGGCGGAUUGGAGACGCAGAUAGCAGCGUCGCCAGCGACCAGCGUGCCAAAACUCGUCGACAUCAUCUCGUGUAGAAUAGAGUAAGCAGUUCAUUAUCGAAAUGACGUAAAUUAUCUGCUGAAAAUGCUAAAUUAAAAUUCAAUCUUGGAGAGAAAAGAAACAAAUUAUAACAGGGAUAAAUCAAACCAAAUAUCAUAGUUUAGGAGGUAUAAAAUUGAAAAAAAUAGUUUAGGAGUUAUCUGAACUCUUGUUAUACUUGAGGGAAGGGAAAUACAUUAAGCCUUUCUUCCUCUUCUUCUCCAUGUAUUUCACUUAUCAUCAUCAUCAUCUAAAAAAUAUAUUAUUUCUAACGAGACCUUUUUUCCCUUUACUUUUGGGCCCGAUUGUCGCCAGACGGCCCAAAGUUCAGUUACAAUUUCUCAUGGGCUAGGCCUACAUGCAUCCGAUUGGCCCAGAAGCGCUCGUUUCAGCUAUCCAUCAGAUUGGCCACUGCGGUCGUCGCACUGCGACCAACCGCCGCCGCGACGGAGAUGACGCCCCUCACCCCCGCCGCCUUCCUCCUCCUCCUCCUCUGCCUUCCGGAGGCCCCACCCGCCGCCGCCGCCGGUGACCCGACCCCGACUCCAUGGCCCCCGCAGUUCCACGCGACGAUGGUCAUGGACUACCACGGCAACAUGUCCAUCGCCGACCUCUGGUACGACUGGCCGGGCGGCCGCAACCUCCACGUCAUCCGCUACCAGCUCGCCGACGACGCGCCCUACUUCGACAACGAGUGGAACAACGGCACCUCCUUCUUCUACACCCCGGCGCGCCGCUCCUGCCGCUCCGCCGCCGUCGGGGUCGGCAUCCUCCGCCCCGACUGGCUCCUGCCCGGCGCGGUCUACCUCGGACGGCGCGACGCCGGCGGAUUCGACUGCCACGUCUGGGCCAAGGCCGACUUCAUCACCUACUACGAGGAUGUCAAGACCAAGCGGCCCGUCAAGUGGGUCUUCUACACAGGUAAUGGAUUUCUGACUUUAGUUUCUUCCCCGUCAUGCCACAGCGUUGCUUCAAGCUUAAUUAGUUGAUGUUCCCCUUAUGGAACACAAAUGUCGUGCCAGUUUGAAGGCGACAGGAGCUAAUUUGCCGGGUCCUACAUUCCUAUUAGACGUGAUCUAUACUUUCAAUUCACUACGGAUUUAAGACAUGUGGGGAAACUGAGUCUGUGCUAUAGUAGUUGAUUGAUUAUAAAAAUUAAUGUUCAGGGAGACAAACCACUGAGAAAUGCCUAUUCUAUCGAUUAUGAAACAGUAAGUUAUAUCUUGUUCUAGUGGCUGUGGAGAUAUUGGCUUUACCCACAUCAAUCACACUGGUUUGUUUUAGGAUUGUCGCAGCAAACAAAGAAAUUAUAUCUGCAAAGUUUUGAAGUGACUACAAUGUUUUUCCAAAUUUUUUGCUACAUCUGCUUGAAUACUGAGCUGAGGACAUAUAGUUUUUCUCUGAUUCCUGUGUCUAUAAGCUUUUACGCCCAGCAACCUUUGAAAAAUCACUGGAAGGCACCUUGGCCGGCCAGCAGGAGCCAUAGGAUUUUUUAACAUACUUGGUGACCUGUUUUUUCCAAGCCACUGCACACAUUAAACAUCUACUUGUUCUUAAUGUUCAUAUCUAGGUGUUUAUGUAUCAUUGUCAGUCACGUUUUCGCCCAUUAUUUUGGAUUUGCCAUUUUUGUCGAUCUGUUGCCAUUCUUGAAGAAUGAAAAAAUCACUAUGCACUGUAAGUUUGUAUAAUUCCGAAGAACUUUGCUUAGGGCCUUUGCCCAAUUCAAAUAUCCUUCCAUACUGAUUUGUUGUUGCCACCCUUGAACUUGAUUUACAAGCUUUUGAGUUUUUACCCACAAACAUUUGAUGAUUCCUAUGUGUCACUUACUGUAGCUUAUUCCUAUUCAGAAAGGUCAAUAACCUAUUGGAAUUGCCAUAAAAGUAGGGGAUGAACCACCUGCUAUUAAAAUUCAUCCAGAUUUUGUAGUAGCUGGCCCCCAGUCAUGUUUACUCCGUUGUGCAUGCUUCCAUGCAACCAAGCAUUGACCCAUGAUGAUAUGAAUGUGCUCGAACUGAAAGUUCUUCCAGUAGUAGGCCUACUUUCUUGUUUUAGUGUCAUCUUACAAAGGGUCUACAGGGUUGUAUAAAAGAUUGGACAACGCUGUGUAUGUAGGUAUGUGACCCCUCGUUGUCACUGGGCAUCAACCUAUCCAUCUGUAUUCGACUGUAAAAUGUUCUAGGUUCCAGUUAAACAUGUCUGCAAGACUGCAAGUGCCACAAGUUACUCAACAGAGUAUAGGUAACAGGCCGGACUAUAUGGAUGUAGUUUGUAAUGCUUUUAGGUGUCCCUUAAAGUAGAAGAUAUCAAGUAUAAACCAAGAGUGUGACAUUAUCUUUUCAUUUAGCUUGGUUAAGGCGUGAGGACCAAUUUAGUUGUCCCUUAGAAUAGCAGAUGUCUUUCUGUAUUGCUCCUGCUAUCACAUUCUUAUUAUCAAGUCAGCUUAAGUUGUGACCAAACGCCAAAGUGAGACAGCUUGCAGUUUUAAUUAAGUUUGUCAUGCUGAGGACUCAGGAGCAAUCAAAUGAAGCUACACUUCAUGUGUACUCGAUGAGUGCUAGUCAGGACUGCCACCUUCCCUGUUUUGUUGCUAUCCCCAAUUGCAAACACCGACACCACUUGCCUUACAGUAGUACUAAAACGGAUAUGGCUCUUCACCAUGAGAGCCAAAGCAAGCGCUUAUUACCAUGCAGACAGAUAUCUCCACACUUCUUGUUAUGCUGCAGUCCCCAAUUAACAAACACUCUGGCCUGGUUUGGUUCCCUGACCUUAUUUUUAAGCACCCGUCACAUCGAAUGUUUAGAUACUAAUUAGGAGUAUUAACGUAGACUAUUUACAAAACCGAUUACAUAAGUGGAGGCUAAACGGCGAGACGAAUCUAUUAAGCCUAAUUAGUCCAUGAUUUGACAAUGUGUUGCUACAGUAAAAAUUUGCUAAUGAUGGAUUAAUUAGGCUUAAUAGAUUCGUCUCGCCGUUUAGCCUCCACUUAUGUAAUGGGUUUUGUAAAUAGUCUACAUUUAAUACCCCUAAUUAGUGUCUAAACAUUCGAUGUGACACAUGCUUAAAAAUAAGCAAAGGAACCAAACAGACCCUCUAUAACUUUGCCUUGCAGUCCAGUUGUAUGUAACCAGAGAUAUGGUUGUCAGCUGAAGUCACCAUGAGAUGUGACCUGACACCUGUUUCCUUAAUGACUCUGUAACCUCUGUACAUUUGCCGAUCUCUGCAGGUAGGAUCGCCUACGUGAUGAACUUUGAGGUGGGAGCAGUGCUGGAGGACGCGGCAUGGCAAGCUCCAGAGUACUGCUUCAACAAGGAUGGUGGCACAAUCACCGAGGCCGCUGAUGGGCAUGAUGACAGCUUCAUCCCCAGGAAUGUGUUGUGAGGAUUUAUCUUCCACUGGUGUGUUCGCCCUGGUCUCCGGUAGAGCUCUGGACAUUGGGAUGUCGUGUAACAACUUGACCAUACAUGCUUACCCUGAUCAUGAAAAUACCAGUGGAUCCAGUAAACGUGUAUGGUCGAUUGAUACCAGUGUUUGUGUGUUGACAUGAAUCAUCGGUCUCUUCUCUUGUGCGAUGUGUAUAAAUAAUUGUAGCAAUAGAAGUGCAGAUGGGAUGGACCUGUAUCUCGUUCUAUCAGAGAGUGCUGGGGCCUGUUUGGUUACCCAGCACUAAUCUACCCAUUUUAGCCACUUUUAGUCCCUAAAGUGCUAAACAUAUGGACUAAAUGUGGACUAAAGUGUUUAGUCCUCUAGUCUAUAUGGGGUGGACAAAGGCUCUGUUUGGAUAGCAAGUGCUAAACUUUAGCACCACUUGGGGCUGUUUGGAUUCUGUGCUAAAGUUUAUCAUCUUUGGUGGGAAAUGACUACAUUGCCCUCAUUUAUUACUCCUCUUCAAUCCUAUUCAAGGCUGGCACGUUUCGCGAUGGGGGGAACUAGGGAAAAUGUGGAGUUGGGGACCACUUUUAGCACUAUUAGCAGGUUUUAGCACCCCUUGGGUGUGCUAAUGAAAAUAGUUGUACUAAAUUUUAGCACUCACCUUUUAGCACGCCUGUUUGGGAGCAUAAGUGCUAAAAGGGGAGCGCUAAACUUUAGCAUCCCUUAUCCAAACAGGGCCUAAAGUGGAUUAAAGGGCCUUAGGACACCCCUGCUCCUCAUUUAUUGCCCUCCCUCUUGCCCGACCCCCUCCGCCGACCUUCCUCCUGCCACCUCCCGCCUGGCCCCCACCGCCCUCCCGCUGCCGCCACCACCAUGCCUCGCCUCGCCUCCCUCCCUCUGCGCCGUGCCCCCCGGCCACCGCUCGUCAUGUCUUGCCUCGCUUUCUUCCUGCAGGGUACAGUGAAUGAGGGGUAUUAUCGUCUUUGUUCAUCUGCAUUAAUGGACUUUAGUCCCUUGAUCCAAAUAGGGUACGAACUAAACUUUACAUCCACCCACUCUGAAAAUAGUGAAAUCAUCUAUCACCCCUAUAAAUCCACCAAAGUUAUUCUUUGCUACGACUACCCCACCAAACGUCCCCCACUGAGGCAUCCUUCCUCCACCCACACUGAUUUGUGCACACAGAAAAUUAACUCCCUUGAAACGGACCGUCUGGAUCUCUUCUCGCAUCUUCUCUCUCUUCCUCACUCAAAUCCAACAGCCCGUACCCCUUCACCCCGCCGGCUCGCGACUCCUCGCCCACGCGGUCGCGCCCGACCGACCGUCCCCAUUGUCUCCUAUGCCCCUCACUCCCGCCCCAGACUUCUCGGCUCCUCGUGCACCACCCACUCUUGACCCCGACUCCUCAUCUCCUCUCCAUCGAUGUCGCUGCCGGGUCUCAACCAGGUUCCAACUGCUGAUUACCAUCGUCAUCGUCAUCCAGGUUCCAACUGCUGAUUACCGCUGCCACGACAUAGUCCUUGCGAGUAUAUGUGAGAAUAGCUGACAAGGUAACACUCCUGCUCCUAUUUGUCUUUCUGUGUCCAAUUGAUAUAUGUGCUAGGCAUCCCUCCUAAUUUGAUCGUUGUUAUGUACUGAAGCUGAUUAGCUAACCAUCCCGAUUGAUUUAAGUACUUAUUUCUUUUUUCCCCUUUAGAGGUUGCUGCUCAGUGCGUAGAAAAAUAUUGGUGUCCUAGCAUUUAUUAUUCCCAAGAGAAGGACUAUCAGAGUGUCAUCAGUUGAGGCAGGUAUGGAAAUCUCGGUGCCCCUGUGCAUCAUGUUUCUAUGCAGUUUUAGUAAAAUAUUGGUGGCCUAGCAUUUAUUAUUGCUAAGAGAGUACUUUCGAAUGUCAUAAGCUUGUGCCUGUUGAGAACUGUCACUUUUCUAUCCAUGUCACUCUUUUGUUGCCGCAUUUCCUGCAUCGUGGCUAACGAUGACCCCUAGGACCACUCUUUUGGUGUCCUAGGAUGUAUACUUUCUUGUUGUUAAUAUGUGGGUCUUGCAUUACAUCCAUUUUUAAGUAACAAAGGUCUGAUGCCCUGGUAUUGCAAUAUUUGAUCGGUCUUUCCCCACGAUUCCUUUUCUUUGUGAUGGAAUUUAUUUCAGAUGUGCAUGGCCUAAUCGUGUGAAAAAUAAAUCCAAACAAUUGAGUUCACCAGUGUGAUUACUUUUCUUAUUACCGCAAUUUAGGUAGUUGUACAGUAUCAUAGAUGAAUAAACAUUUGUGAAGAUGCUAUGACAAAAGAUAGAUCUUUGCUUUUCUUUCCAAUCUUAUGGAUUAAAUAUGCUUUCUCUCCUGUCUCAGGUGCUCGGUGAUCUCCAUAUUUUGCUGCUCUCAUGGUAGCUGUUUGUUACCAUGUUAAUCAGGUGGGAGAGUGGAUUUUGUUCUACAUAGCCUGGAGCUACAGAAUUGAAGUUUGGCACCUUCAAGCUGUUGAUAUUCAGGCUAUAUUGGUAUGUGCACUCAUGAUUGGCUUCUAUUUUGUUAAGCUUGUCAUUUUUCAUGGUCUUUCUAUUAUUUAAAUGCAUUACAUAUUAUCAGUUGUUGUCUUAGUGUAUUAAAUGUACUUUGCUAUUUUUUGGAGGUAAAUUACAGAGAGGUAAAUUACAGAGAGGUAAAUAAAUAUCAUCAGCUGCUUUGUUUUAUCAUCUCUAACUCAACAGCAUGUUUUCUAGAGAGAACUUUUUUUUUGUUAGUAUUGGCCUCCAAACUGAUUUUUGUUUUUCUUUUCAUGAACAUGGCAGGAUUAGAUGUGCUUCUUUUUUAUUAUAUUGAUAUUUCACCUCUUUUGUAUAUUCUGCUUAACAUUGCCAUUGAUUCUUGCAUCCAUGCCAGCUAUCUUAUCUUCCAUAAAACAAUUACUGAUUUGGAAAUUAUGAAAAAAUGAUCUGCUCUUAUCCUGGGGGCAACUAAUCAGUAUAACAUAAGUUGUCAUCUAUUUUGAUCAUUUUCUUUUCUUACUGCAGAUUUCUUUUCUUACUGCAGAUGCUUUCAGAGCUAACUGGGAAAUGGCCAUGCAAUGUUCAGCCAACUCAUAAUUCAGUACUUCAUGGACUUCUUUAGGUGAAAUCUCUUUGCAUUCUUUUCAUUUGUUUUUCUUAUUUGCCACUAUUGAGGAGAAAGAUUAGUUACAACUUAAAUACCACUUCAAAAAGCGGCAUCUUUUUUCUUGCCGCACUGAAAAUUCUUUUAGCAUCCAGACAUCGGACUUGCACUCACUACAGUACUUCAGUUUGACAAUUUCUGAUUGAUUAAAAUAGUUUGUGAUGCCAAUUGAAUUUCUCACUAUGUUUUACGUACUCAUGGCAAAGCUAGGAGUGUCUCAAUUGUCAUCAAAUUCACAUUGUUAGUGCUGCAGCAAAGACAUGCCAAAUUAUGUAAAGCAGCAGGCUGUCAUCGUCAGUCACUUUAGGUGACAUUAUAAUGUACGGAGGCAACUGAUUUCAGUUACAUGAGUUUCUUGAUUACAUUUCUCUGAACUUGGCAGGUGCAUCACCUCUAUUACUUCUGCGCUGGGAGAUGACUACUUGAGCGUGCAGAAGCACUAGCUGCUUUGAUGUUUGUCAGGUAAUCACCAACCAUGUUUUCAGUGCCAUGAUGAUCGAUUGUUUAACCAUUCAUUUCAUUUCUGCACUAGCUGCUUUGAUGUUUGUCAGGUAAUCACCAACCAUGUUUUCAGUGCCAUGAUGAUCGAUUGUUUAACCAUUCAUUUCACACUGGUUAUGUUGACUAAAUGUAUUUAUCAUAUUGUUCGUUCUACUGUCAGCUCUACAAGAACAAUGAGAAAUCUAGAGCUGUUCUCUCCACAAUGAUUUUUAUUAUAUGUUCUUUCCUGAACCCCUCAAGGUGUAUAACUGAGUGAUGCUUUUGGAAUGAUAUGUUAGGACAUGCUGAAUAGACAAGUUUUGUGCCACCCAUUGGUUAAAAUUGCUCUUGCAAAUUUGUCAUCAACCAUUGCUACUUUGGGUCCAGCAAGCAGUGUGUUCUUAAAUGUGAGUGUCUUGCCGAUAUAUCUUAGGGGGUGUUUGGUUCCUCAAGCUAAAGUUUAGUCCAUGUCACAUCGAAUAUUCAAAGGCUAAUUAGGAGGAUUAAAUAUGAGUUAAUUAUAAAACUAAUUGCACAGAUGGAUGCUAAACGACGAGACGAAUCUAUUAAUCCUAAUUAAUCAAUCAUUAGCUAAUGUUUACUGUAGCAGCAUAUUGUCAAAUCAUGGACUAAGGCCUUGUUUGGGAGGAGGGGCUAAAAUUUAGCCUUGGGCUAAACUUUAGCCCUCUCAAAUGUUGAGGCUAAAGUUUAGCCCUUGGGGGUGUUUGGGUAAGGGGCUAAAGUUUAGCACUUAUGUUGACAAAAGACCUAUUUACCCAUGUUGGAGGGGUGAGAGGGAGGAGAGAGAGAGGGGCAGGGGGAGGAAUUUUGGAUAAGGGGACCACUUUUAGCCCCUUUAGUCCAUUUUAGCACCUCUUGAGGGGCUAAUGGAUUAUGUGGGGCUAAAAUUUAGCCCCUCCAUUUUAGCCUAGGUGUUUGGGAGCACUAGUGGCUAAAAGUGACUAAAAUGGGGGUGCUAAAAUUUAGCACCCCUCUCCCAAACACCCCCUAAUUAGGCUUAAUAGAUUCAUCUCGCCGUUUAGCCUCCAUCUGUGUAAUGGGUUUUGUAAAUAGUCUACGUUUAAUACUCUUAAUUAGUAUCUAAACAUUCGAUGUGACAGGUGCUAAAAAAAAGCUUUUGCUUCGUGUAGCUAUGAGACACCAAGUGCUGUCAUGGAAUUGUGCGGUCGUUUUCUCUUCCCGAUGCAACGGCCUUUUCCUAAGGUGGCUUGCAAGGAUGCUGCUGCUUUGUGCCUUGAUAUGGCUGCAUCUUCCAUCCGCUCAAGUAAAGAUAGGAGGUGUGGCUCAUGGAACGGUUGAGGUAAUGGCUUCCACAUCCUUGAUGUCCGUGUUGAUAUGUGCAGCAGUGGUAGUCGUGGGAGGCUUAAGUAAGAAAGGAGUAGAAGAAUGCAAGAUUCCUCGAGCAUCAGAGGUCCACCAAGAUUCCUUUGGUGUGAUAUAGCCACUGCACACAACAUGUUUGUUGAAAUGCCUGGAGGAAGCUUGACCGACGGUGACCGUUGUAUUUCACUCUCGGAAGAUUCAACAUUCAAGGCGUGUGAUCUUAAGUAUAUCGUAUAUUGAAUGUAAAUUAUUUUAGUGUUGAUGUGACAUGGAAUAUGGCAUUUCGAGUUACGUGAACUUUAAGAAAUAUUUACUGUUGUUUGUUUUAUUUGCAUUAUGAAAUAUUACGUAGCGUGGGCAUUCUACUAGUCACAUGAGUAGGCAGCGCAGGCCUCGGCCCAGCAGCCGCUGACACCACCAACCAGCAGGCUUUGCCUCCGAGAAUAGUUUGCUGGACUCGUGUGAAUUCACCAUUGUCCUCCAUCCGCAUGUCGUCUAUCAUCAUCAUGCCCGUGGGCCGUGGUGGAAAAAUGUACUCCUCCUACUCCAUCCAGUUUGCAGCCAGUAAAAACGAUUUUUUUAUUUUAACCCCUUUUAAUCUAAAAUUUUAGAUUAAAAAUGGUACAGGUACCUACUGUGAAGUGAAGAUGACAAGACCACGGAUUUGAGGAUCCUGUGAAAUCACCGAAGACGCCGUUAGGAGGACCAUCUUGAAGUGGAUCCUGCCAAGUGCCAACCACGGCGGUCGGCGGGUACAUCCGAUCCGUCCGUGGUCAUGGGACGCCGGCGGUGGGUUUGAUUUGAUUAUUGUUAGCUGCCCCGCGCGCACGGUACGGUGGAGGGUCGCAUGGAGGGGCGCCGCCGUCGUGGCGCGCGCUGCGCCACACGCGUGCACGGCGACGGCGAGGCUCGAUCUCUCUGGUGGUUCGGCCGAUGGAAGGAGCAGAGCAGGGGCGAAAAAGCCUCGCCUUCCGGACGAGCUGCCGUCGUCUGUUGCGGAGCGUCAAUCAUAUCGAUGGCAUUGAUGGAUACGAUAUGAUCGGAGCAGUGCAGGGUGGUUGGGCGUUGGGGCUUGCUGGAAUCUUGGCACGCGCGUGCGUGUGGAUCAGGGAUGGAAUUGGAAAUGGAUGGGUCUAUCAGCGGAAAAACUGACCUCCGGCGGCCCAUGGAUGGAUGCAUCUCCCCGCCCUCACCUCCGGCCGAUCGAUCGUCACUGCUGCUGCUGCAUUGGGCGGCCAUUACUCGAUCGGCGGCCAAACCGGGAGCUGCCCAUCCAUCCAAUCCAUCGUUCGAUUGCUUCAAUCCAUCCAUUGUCCUCUUCCAGACACACGUACGAUAGCAGGAUCCCUAGGGUGUCCUCUUUGUCGCACCCCCUCCAAUCAAUCCAUGGCUGCAUUGGCUUUGCCUGCCUGCAAAACGCCAGGCCCAGAUCGCCAUCCGUCUUGCUGCUGGGCGCCGUGCGCGGUGCGGUUCUUGCCGACGCCAGACAGUGCAAGCUAGGUCGCCGGUCAAUCGUGAUCGACUAGUACUGUUCAUCGUUGCCGGCCAAUGGCAGCGGCGUCACAAUGCAAGAAGGUGGUAACCAGCAGCAGCGAGCGACCUGACUGGGAUGGUUGGCAGCGGCAGCUCGUCUUCCUCCCUGAGUCGGUCACUUCCUCAUCACGUGCUACUAAGCUACGCCGGCCAAAACUGUCACUGCGGGCAUUUUAGGUCACACAGUGCCUCCACAAAAACUAAUGAAGGUGAAAUUCCCUCCAAAAAAUAAAUCUCUACUGCUGGAUUACUGUGUCCUGGCAGCUUGACCGUGGACAUCGGGGUCCUUCCUUGGUAGCGCAAACGUCCUCGUCUGCCGAUAGCUGUCGUUGUUUCCCGCAGUCACGGCAAUCCAUACAGCCUAGUUGCCCACUCGUAACAGAAAGGAGAGAAAAGGUGUCAAUAUUAUAUGCAAGGUGUCCAAUUCGAUCGCAGCCAAGCCCUGGGUCGCGGGAAACACCACAUGGUUCAAGGGAAAACUAGUCCCAUAGAGCAGGUCUUUCCUGACGGCCAGAAACCGACCGAAAAAACUGAAAAAAAACCCGUCAGCAAACAGGACCUGAUGGUAAAGAAGAAAGAAAAUCACUUUCUCCUGACCUCAUUGAAGGAAAAAGAAAACCCAAGCCUGGAUUAGGUGCAGAGAGUUAGCAGUGCACCGCCAUUAGCAAUGUUCAUGCAUGACCUGAUUGAUGAUCAUUCUCAGCGUAGCGCCACUGUAAUGAAGUGAUGGAUGGAACAGGCACGGUGCCUGCCCGGCUAGCUAAAUACUGCUCCAAAUUUCAAAAUCAAUCCAUGGAUCUAACAAUAAACUAAUUAGUUUGCUCUAAACAUCACAUAUAUAUAAAGAAUAUACACGGCAUCCACACGGUUUUUUUAAAAAGAUUUCGAAUCAAUCAAGCAAAGCGGUAGCAGUACUGUUCGGUUGGAAAGAUUAAACAGCAAGUGCCAUAAAUAGCCGGCGAGCCAACAGCAUUUCGUCUUCACCCCACCCGGGUACAGGCGGACAGCUCAGAUCGCCCGCGAGCUGACCCGACUCGCGAGUCGCAUCGCCGUGGCCUCUUUCAGAAUCAUUCAGAGGUGGAGGCUGUGGAGCAGAGCACGGAGUCAGCUGCAGGCACCCUCCCUCCCUAGUCCCUCCCCCUCCUCCUAUAAAACCUCCCCGCCGCUCUCCCGCUCCCGUCGCCGUUUCUCAUUCCUCAUUCUCAUUCUCAAGUCUCAACCAAGAAGAAGGUCGAGGGGGCAGGCCGCCAUGGACUCCCAGCAAACCGUGAAGACCAACGGGCACGGCCACCACAACGACGGCGACGCCGCGGAGUGGAAGCAGGUCUCCGAGCUGAGGGCCGUCACCGAGGCGCAGGACCCUGCCUGCAAGGUUCGUCGGCGUUCGUCCUCUUCCUGAAUCUCCCCUUGAGCUAGCUGCUUCUGAAUAUAAUCCCGUCCACUUGAUACAUACAUGAUGGUUGCACACGGGAUCGCACUGUUCAAUUACUUUUUCAUUCCACAAAUCGACAGCACAAGUAGCUAUGGCCUCUCACGACAAUCGCAUGUGAACUCCAUCGCAUCACGUAUGCAGCUAGCUCCUAGCUACCUGGGGAAUCCAGUGCUCAGGGGCCAAAAGAAAAACCCUGCAAAUCAUCUAGAGUGCAAAUCAUCUAGUGUUCAGGAGCUAGCCAUCGUCUUCUCUUACAGCUGUACAUACAAUUCGGAUUUUAGAGCUUGAUAAUUCACCUUGUAAAUAUUUGUUAGUACUAGCACUAAGUAAUUAGUCAGAGCAUAGUUGUAAAUAUUGAGCCUCAGGCUCCCAGAACACACCAAGUUGUGGGCAGAGGAAGCCAAAGCCUCUGAAGAUGAUGCCGACUGGCUUGUGAAGACGGAGCAACCAUUUGCUGUGGUGCUAACCGCAAUUAGGGGUGGGGUCCGUCGUCGUUGGCCGGCCGGGCGUCGCUUUUCGCCUUGAUGGCCGGCCCCGCCGCUCACGCUUUCCUCAUUUGCAGCUGCUGCCUGCUGCUGGUGGAGUGCUUUGGGUUCUAUCUAGGUAUUUCUUGGCCAGUUUUUAUUCAAGAGAAACAAAACAAAAUUAUUAUCUUGGGCAGGCAGUUCAACAUCCGUGUCUAGGUGGUUGCAGUUGCAGGUCAGGCAGGCAGCAAGGUGGUUAGCAGUUGAGCUUAGCUAUCCGUCGUAAAUAAAGGACGUCGCCGUCUGCUCCUUUCUUCCCAGGUCCAUCUGACUCCAUUCUCCGCUGGAAUUGGACCGCCUGCUUCUUGGCUACACUGGAUUUCCAGGGAUCUCAGCAGCCGAUCCUGCUGCCACCUGCUGCCAUGGGCGCCGGCCAUGUAUAUGUGCAAGUUGCUGCCCAACAGUCCAACCAGAAAUGGCCACACAACCCGUACCAAACCACGCGCCUUCUGCACGUACAUGACUGCUGCAUCAGGCCAAGACUGGUGAAAGUAACUUUCUUUGUUUCAGAACUAGCAGUAUACUAUACCAAGCUUCUAGCAUGUGCAAGGAAAAUGGGCAGUGGUUGUUGUGGUUGUGCACCUAAUAACUUACCACUGAUGAUCCCUUUGAUUAAUUGACUCCUUGAUCCAGUACAGGAAUAACUGGUAGGACUAGUGUAUUGUAAGUGUGUGUGAUUGAAAAUGCUCACAGCUACUAUUCACUAAUUAAAAGACGGCUGUACUGGUGCACUGGAUUGGAAUGGAUGAUGAUGAAAGCUACCCAUACUGCCAUGCGGGCUUUUGAUUUCAGCCACGCAUCACUCGUGGCACGGAAAAGCCCCCCAUAAAUGUUGCCCAGCUCUCCUGUCGAUUCACUCCGGCCUCCUAAUCUCAGAUGUCAGAUCACACACACAGGCCUAACCAACUGAUAGAUGACGACGUGAUGAAGAAAUCGCAUGCCAACCUUUACUGAUCUGCUCAUCAUCUCUGAUGUCAACUGCAUUUUGCUCAAUGAAUCAUACCAGGAGGAGGACGACUACACGCUGCGGCGUUUCCUUCGCGCCCGGGACCACCACAUCGGCAAGGCGUCGGCGAUGCUGCUCAAGUACCUCAAGUGGAAGCCGACGGCGAAGCCCAACGGGUCCAUCUCGGAGGCGGAGGUGGCGCACGAGCUGUCCCAGGGGAAGCUGUGCCUGCAGGGGCAGGACCGGCAGGGGCGGCCCAUGAUCUACGGGUUCGGUGCCCGGCACCACCCGUCGAACCGCGACCUCGACGAGUUCAAGCGCUACGUCGUCUACGUCCUGGACGCCACCGUGGCGAGGCUGCCCCCCGGGCAGGAGAAGUUCGCCGCCGUCGCCGACCUCAAGGGCUGGGGCUACUCCAACUGCGACAUCCGGGCCUACCUCGCGGCGCUGGACAUCAUGCAGAACUACUACCCGGAGCGGCUGGGGCGGGUGUUCCUCGUCCACGUGCCCUACGUGUUCAUGGCGGCCUGGAAGAUCGUAUACCCCUUCAUCGACGACAACACCAAGAAGAAGUUCGUCUUCGUCUCCGACAAGGACCUCGACAGGACGCUCCGGGAGGCCAUCGACGACGCGCAGCUGCCGGAGAUGUACGGAGGCAAGCUCAAGCUCGCCUCGCCGGCGCCGGCGGCCAAAUGAUGUGAUGAUCAUCACGUACUGAUCUAUUGCUGGCUGGCAGAGACGUCAAUCAUAUCGACCGUGCUUCGAUCUAUCGGUGAUGCAUGUGAUCGAUCGAUCUGAUUCUGAUGAGGGGUGGUCCAGAGCUACGUACGUACACGGCUAUGGACACAGGCACUAGCUCGAGUGUCAAACACUAUAGCAUUAGGCAAAUCGAGUACUACAACAAGGCUCAGAAAGAUGCAAGGUUUCUGCAUGUAGCUAUCCUCCCUCCAUGUACUGCAUGCGUACAGUGCAUUGCAUCUGUAUUAAUAAUUGAGGCUAUCUACUGCCUGCUUAUACAUAUAGCAACUGCAUGCAGCAGCAUCGAUGAUGCAUCCAUGGAACGAGAACCUCCAAUGUCAAUCCCAUUUUCUGAUCUUAUGAGUGAUAAAUCCUUUGAAUUUCAAAAAAGAAGUAUAUAUAAGAUAAGAAGAAGAAAGAAGAAUUGAAGAAGCAAAUGCAACGACUAGAUAAUGUGGCUUUAAUGUUACCUCAGAACAGAAUGGUCCGCAGUGAUGAAUGUGCAUGGUUCUGCCAGGGAGGUUAUACAUAAAGAAGGACCAGUGAUUGAUUGCUGCACGUUGCAAAGGUGCCGACCGGAUCCAGCUCUGAUUCGUGGGAAAAAAGAAUUUAACGGAUCUCAAUCUGCCAUUGUGCCAUGAUCUAGCUUGGUCCCGGCCGGCCGGGACCUUGCUACGUUGUCGAUCAGGUACACAGUACACUCUGGUCUGCUCAGUCAGGCCACCAUAUGAAUAUGAAUAUGACAUCCCGGCCCGCAGAAUUGCACACCAAACCGCCGGCCGGGCUGUUGUUUAAUUUGUACCGUCGACAAACCGUGGGAGGUGGGAACUCAUGCUCAUGCAGCAGCAGCAGCAGCUGCGAAGGCUAUGUUUGACAUAGCUCCAACUCCAAACUCUACCUCGGAGUUAAGUAGAACCAACCAAACACCUCAACUUUUGGAGCAGCCCAACUCCAUAGAGUUAGUGGAGCUAUAGUUCAUUUUCUGGGAGUAUCUCUUUCCCAACUUCAAACCUAUUCGAAACGAACUUAGAUGUGGAGUUGGGAAGUAAUUACCCACCACUACCACUCAUUAUACAAAAAAUGAUUCGUUUCUUUCAUCUUUCUCCCAUCUGACCUUAUCAACGACCUGGCCUCCCUCUCUUCCCCAUCCCUCCCGCCGGCCGGCCUACUCCCCACCGCCGCUGUCCCUCCUACUGGCCGGCCCCCACUAUAGGAAAAAACAACAACAAAGGAUUAGAAGUCUCGCACCGAUAAACCUUGCUCUGAUUACCAACUAAUAAGAACCCGCUAGGGUUGAUUCCCGAUCUUUCGAUGAGAGGGCGUGGAUAACUCGAUUGGUGGAUGGAGACGACGUUCACGGCCCGACUACAGCCUUCCAACCCGCGCCUUAGCAACUGAUACACCACCUCCAAUGGUUGCUAUGAUCUUGGGAGCGCGUCACCCAGCCACUAGGGCACUCGUCCUACAAGCAAUCAAAGAACUAGCAAGAACAAGUAUGGCAAGUACUGAAUUUACUAGAUGAAGAUGAAGGUUUCAAACUCAAUUUCAAUAAUGAUAGGGUUCCGAAGAUAAGAAGAUGGGCGGCUGAUCCAGCACGCGGGCUUACAAGCAAGUAGCAAAAGCUAAACUUAAUCUAAACAAAAUCCAACCAUUCUUGGUGGCGACUAAGGGGUAUAUGAAGGUGGGAGAACGACCACCAGGGUGUUGGGGUCGUGCUCCAACCCUAGGACGCAUCCCUAAUGGAACCGACUUGAUACACGGCCUAUUAGGUCAAAAUAAGGCGACACAACACCUUUGAACAAAAAACCUCUCGGUAGUAAUUUGGUCAUUGCGGCCGCCUCAGAAUAGAUAUAUACUUGAGUCUAGAUCGAUAUGAAAAUAGACUUCAUAAAGAUUCCAUGAAGUACUUGAAUGCCCCAAUCCGAGUCCGUAUGCGACCGUGGUGACCAUCAUAAUUUGGUGCUAUCCUGCAGUCCGAAUCCAGCCUGCGAGAAUCAUUUUCCCUUUCAGUCUUCUCCCUUAUUCCUAACCAAAACAAGAGUGCAUGCGUCUCCAUGGUCUACAUAUGAUGGAUAAUAACUCAAGAGUAAACUUACUUGAUGAUUAAGUUGACGAGCACGGACGCGAGUAAUAGGACUAGAAACUUGUACUCGUGUCGGUGUGGAUGUAUCGUUGAUGGUGAUGUCCUCGUCACUCUCCCCUUCAUGCAGUUCUAGCUGGAAUUUGGAGUUGCAGCAAGAAAUGGUGGAGUUGGAGCGCAUGCGGAUCUACUCGUUCAUCCUCCAUCCAUCAUUUUUUUUAGUGGGCCUCCCCAUCCAUCAUUUACUUCUAUCUCUUGGCCCAUGUUGCAACAAGUGUUUGGGCCUCGCUAAUUUCCACUGAAUCACGGCCCAUCCGCCCACAGAAGAGCUGCAUGUGCAUCCACCAACCAUAGCAUGUCACGGACUCAUCGGCCCAAAGUAAGCGAAUCCGCACCGCCUGCGGCGUUUGCGGUCAGGCCUCGCCGCGUCGCCCCGGCCUCUCCCCGUCACCGGAAACAAAAGAACGCUGGAAAUAUCCAGGCGGGGACGCACAGCAGUUGCAGACAGCCUCAAGAAUUGCCCGACCAUGGCCGCCGCCGCAGCCGCGCUCCUCCUCCAGCCGCGGGUCGUGUCUCUACCACCUAACCCCAGACUCGCCCCCACCUUCAACAAACCAGCGCCUACCUUCGCCCCCAUCGGCCGCCGCCGCGCCGGCGCGAGGCUCAGGGCCGUCGGUGACGGCCCCGGCGCCGGGCUCGCCGACCAGACCACCGUCUACAACGGCGUCUACGGGCCCUGGACCGUCGAGGACUCCGACGUCCGCGAGGUACAUGAACACACACACACACACACACACACACACACACACGCACACGCACGCACGCACGCACGCACGCACGCACGCGCGCGCGCGCACACUUGACUGAGCCACGCGCGCAUCAGCAUCACUGCCUCUCUGCAACCUCUGUGACCAACAACUCCUACCGCAGCGCAGGUCCUUUUGUACCGGUCCGGGCUGGUCACCGCCGCGGCGUCCUUCGUGGCCGCUGCCUCCGCCGCGUUCCUCCCUGAGGGGAACGCUGCCGGCGACGCCAUCAGGCAGAGCAUCGACCUUCUCUACGCCGCCGGCGCCGCGGGGCUGGGGCUGUCGCUGGUGCUGAUCCACAUCUACGUCACCCCAAUCAAGCGCUUCCUCCAGGCGCUGUGGGCGGUCGGGGUCCUGGGGUCCGUCGGGACCUACCUCGUCGCCGCGCAGCCGCUGGACGAGGGCCUGGUGCAGUACGUGCUGGAGCAUCCGGCCGCACUCUGGUUCGUUGGCCCGACCUUUGCUGCGCUGACAGGUCUCGUCUUCAAGGAAGGUACGCAAUUGCUGUUGGUUGUGCUUAUCAAUAAUGGAAAUGUAAUUUCUUGAUUUGGUAGUCAGUAUAUGCCCUACCGCUUACAGUUGAUCCUUCCAUUGCCAUGCUCCAAUUUAUGAAUCAUAGUCCAAUUGUCCAGUGUGUAGUCCAAUUUCUGAAUUACACUGACAAGUAACACCAACAGGUCUCUGCUAUGGGAAAUUGGAAGCUGGCAUAUUAACCUUUGUUAUCCCUGGGCUUCUUCUCGGACAUCUGGUAAAUCAGAACACCACCUCAAACUGUUGCCAGCUGCACUAGUCUUUGUUCCUUAAACAAGGAACAAGAGACAAACUGUGGCACUCAUCUUACACGAUUUGUGGUCGCAAAUGCAGUCUGGUUUGAUGGAUAACAGCACAAAGUCAGGCCUUUUAGGAGUGUGGAUGGUUCUUUUCACCAUUUUCGCCGCAAGGAAGUUCCAACAGCCCAUCAAGGUAAAUUCUUUUCCAAUUGACGUGUUUGUAUCUAGCAUUAUUUUGAGCUAUUAUUUUCCUCCAUCGGUCGAAUCUGACAGUUUCAUUCUGUUCCUGACCAUUAAGGACGACAUUGGGGACAAAUCUGUUUUCAUGUUCAACGCCCUCCCUGAAGAGGAAAAGAAUGCUCUGAUCCAGAAGCUCGAGAGGCAAAACGAACAGAAGUUUGAGUAGAGAUUGUAGGCAGGUGGCGUAGCCAAUAGUUUGUCCAUGGAAGUUUGUAGCAGAUGUAUAUGAUAGUUCCGAAUAUCACGACAUGCAUCAAUGCAUAGAUGAAGAUGAGAAUAUUGUAACCGAGAUGUAGAUGGAAAUCUCUUAGGUUACAGGUCAGACAACAAGCAUACGUUGUGGAUGGCCUAUGGACUCAAGGCUAUGCAGCAUUGUCUGUACGUUUUUUGUUUGCAACAUCACUGUAUAUAUUUUUCAGUUUGUUUUGUUGUUCUCCCAUGCAUUCUUGGGUAAACACGACAUUCAUCUGUAUGAAUAAGAUGCAUGGAGGUGGAGAAAAGUUAUCUGCUAGUCGGACGCCUAUGGGCAAAGUCACACAGGCCCAAGAUCGCAUUCCCUUACACAUUAUGAGCGAUCCGAUAAUGGUGAAUCCACAGAGUUAAAUCUACAGAGAUGCACUUCAUCACCACCCAAAGGGUGCAAUAUAAUUCUCUAAUAACAUUCAUAUGCAAUACAACUCUCUGAUACAUAUAAGCUUGGGGAUGCUUAAUGGUUACUACUCGGUAGCGCCCGAUCGCAUGGUAAACAAUGGCAUACCAUGCAAACUGUUCUUGGUAAGCUCUUACAACAGCAAGGAAUUCGUUUGGGUGACCUAAAUAAAUUGCUACGAAUCACCAGAUAACCUAUCAAUGGUACACCAAUUGAGGAGAAUGCAAUUGCAGAGUCGACUAGUUUCCAUAUAUAGCGCCAUUUGAGUUCAGAGAGGCGCUGUUCUGGGGAACAUCAGCUCCCUCGACUUCUGACAUGAAGCCAUUCUCAAAGAAUGCCGAAUGGAGGGCUUGCACACACUGUUUUGCUUCGCUGUCGUUGACUACCAAGGAAAUGUUCACCUGCAUGAGUACAAAAUCAGCAUAAUCGCGCUCUUUAGAAUGUGCACAGAAACUUGAUUUUCGUUUUAAGAUCACGAGGGAUGGAUACCUUGGAUGCCCCUUGUGAGAUCAUCUGGACGUUAACACCCUGUCUUCGCAGAACAUUGAAUGCCUGGCAUGCAGCAAAAGGGUCAGUCGUUCAUGUUUUAGUCACGAUCUAGCAUUGAAGUUCUGAAUCACUAGAUGCCAAGUUGCUAACUAUAUAGUGGGUAGUUCUAACCUUUUCAAGAAUCAACGACGACCUCUGUACAUUUCCUACCAGGGAGAUGAUUGAUCUACGCUGGAGCAGAUGAACAACUGCAAAUUUUUCAAGUUCUUCAACAACAUGAUCAAGUUCCUGCCACAUCAUCAUAAAAAAAGCAAUGAAACAGGAGCGCAAUAAUAACUUAUUGACAAAAAGAAUCAUAACAUGCAUAAGAAUUUGGAAACAGCUCAGUUUCGACUAAUUACUAAACUGAAAAAUCACCACGUUAAACCUGCAAAGUAAAACCACCAGAAGCCAAUCCAGCAAAUCAACUUCAAUAUAUCAUCUGUUCUCUAAGUCAAAAUACCCCUACCUCGUGGGUUACCCACUGUUGCAAUGUAUAUAUUUAUUUAGGUUUAACUAAGCAACUCAAAACUUCAAGCUAAUGAUAACACUGAACUGAGACGACAACACACGGUAAAGUUUUUAGCUGUGUACUACUAGAGCACCGGUUGUAUUGUAUGGUGAAAGUUGAACUAAGAACAUUUUUUUAUCCAGAUCCUUACCUGCUGGAUCAACUCACGACUCCAUAGUUUUGACGGGUCUAGUGUCAACGAUAUGCUGACUUCACUAGUAGCCACACAAUCAACGGAGAUGCCCAAAUCUUCAAAUAUUGAGAAGACCUGUACACGUGCAUGAAUAUAUAAUGAAGCUGACAAAAAAGCUACUAUGAUGAAAGCAAACAAAAGAGUCACAUCAGUUGCCACAUGUAACAUUUGCAAUAAAAAUACGUGCAUGAAUGAAUCUAUAAAUCAAGCUGACAAAAAGCUAUGAUGAAAACAAACAAAAGAGCACAUGAGUGGCUACACGUACCUUUGCUAGAAAACCAUACUGGCCGAGCAUCCGUGUGCUCACUAUAUCAAGCAUGGUAACAUUUGAUUUCAACACAAUGCUGGUUAAAAUACUCUGAAAAAACAAUUUAUGAUCAAGAUGUACUCAAGCUAGCUCUGGCUCUUUCAAGAAAUUACAUAAAGCAGUAACAAGAUAUUACACAUGGAGUAAUCAUAAUCUACUAACAAGUACACAACAGACCUUGCUCAUAUCUCUGGCUUUAGUGAUGACAGUACCAGGUGCAUGACGAUUGUAUGAGUUCUUAACUCUAACUGGUAUAUCACCGUCCCUAGCAGGUCGCAUUGAUUGAGGAUGCAAAACCUAACAAUAAGCAAGUAUAAUAAGUUAACCAGAAACAAAUAAAAUAACAAAGUUAUAGGUUACUAAAAUUUUCUUCCAAGAACAUAAUCCUCCAAAACCAACAAAAAAAAAG
This 42790-nucleotide long non-coding RNA is filed under the name Setaria viridis. Its description in RNAcentral is "long non-coding RNA (SVIR_LNC010042)". The record is from RNAcentral. Lineage: Eukaryota; Viridiplantae; Streptophyta; Magnoliopsida; Poales; Poaceae.